UCACGAGCUUACCCCAUGAGUCCGAGGCGGCCGAGCGAAACCAAAUUGCACCUAAACGGACUCGAUCCCUUUUUUCUAGCUCCGUCUGCAGUAACGUCAAUGUUACGGUUGAACUGCGCAUGUGUCAAACCCCAAAAUGCUCCCACGCCUUCAUUUAAUAGGCCUUGUCCCAGAAGCGGAAAUACAUGCAACGUGAUACGUGACGAGUAUUGUAAACAAAUGUGAAUGUUUUUGCUCGCCUUAAAAGGAAUGUCAGUACAAGAGUCGUUUACUUGAUGUCCUCACAGAGCUCCGGGAUGUUGUGUGAAGUCGUGCUGUCAUCGCUUUGGUUCCUGUUUGUUAUCUUCUGGGUCGAGACAAUAAGUGUUUGCUGUUUCUGUCAAUGUUUCUACCAGGACCGGGCUUUUUACUACUGGGGAGAUGGGGUAUUUGCAGAUGAUCCUGGACAGAUGAUAUAUAUGUUGAGCAGAGUGGAUACCCAUAUUCAGACAGAGAUGCAGACCUGAGACAGAAAGAACGCCACUUAAAGGACUCAAUAAAGGCAGUUCUUUGACUGAAGACCAAAGGAUGGCGAGCAGUAGCUGUUUUUUCUUUGCGUUGACUGCCUUGCACACUGUUGUGCAGUCCUUAUUAACAUCUCUAAAUGUAGGCCCCCUUUUAAUAAUAGGUGGUGUAGAUAUGCAGAAUUAGUGAAUGCACUGCUAAGACAUAGAAGGAGGUCCUCAGUGAUUGAUGUGUAUCAUGCCCACCAGUGUCAACAUUUAUAUUUCCACUUUAAGAUUUUGGGGGAGCAGAAAACAUGCUUAGUUUUCUUGGUCUUUUUUUUCAGUCCAUUUUGAGAAUAUGGCGUUUUUAUAAUACUGCCAUUCUAUGCAACUACAGUUGUUGCUGUCUGCAGCUAUAUUUGUUUUUUUAAAUAUCAGAUUGCAGUAACCUGCUAUAAGUUAUAAAUUGUGGCCUUCAUCUGCUGAUGGAUUUUUCUCAGUUGGCAUGUGUCCUCUUUCCCGAUAUAAGUACACUUAUUUACUCACUGAAAUUUUACACUGAGGAUGCAUGAUAACUGAGCCAUUUGGAACUGCAAAAGCUCCUUUUGCUGCUGAAGAUCACACAAUGGGAUCGAAAGCCCAAAAAGUGGACCUUAUGUUCCGAAACAAGCAACAUAUUUUGCAGUAUGUUGAAUGCUGUAUGCCAAAAAUAUCCAGAUGUCCGACUGCAUCGGGUCCCAUUUUGCAGGAUGCAAGCCAGCAUGCUUCUCCGGUCCAUUUGACCCUUAAAACUCUGCACAGCAGAUAUAAGCAAGAGGGUCAAAGUUCAGGGUGCACUAUUAUGAUGAAGGAGUCUGCAUGCAACAGUAUAUUUGUAUGGGCCGCUGCUACUAAAAGUACAAAUAAAAAAGUGUGUGAUUUGGAAUACAGCCCUGAUUUGUGUGUUUCUAAAGAUGGAUAUGAUAGUGUGCCCCAUGUUAGGAAUCCUCACUGAGAGCAAUAUGUCAGUAUUAUAUCGAGUAAAAUACAUUUUAUUUACGCAACUCUUUGCAAGCCUGUGAGAAUAUUAAUCUGCCAAGAUAGUUUUGCAUUCCUUCUGUCAAUUGAAGGGUUUGCUUUUGAACAAAACCAGCAGAUAGUUUGGGUCUCAUUUUGAGGCAAACAAUGUCAAUAUUGAUUUGUAAAAAUGUGCUCAAUAAACGUAUUUUGAAGUGCGA
Molecule: long non-coding RNA, 1702 nt
Organism: Cyclopterus lumpus (lumpfish)
Lineage: Eukaryota; Metazoa; Chordata; Actinopteri; Perciformes; Cyclopteridae
Exons: 4
Source: RefSeq, a predicted model, not a curated record